This 160-nucleotide unclassified non-coding RNA is filed under the name uncultured fungus. RNAcentral's name for it is "sequence contains ITS1, 5.8S rRNA gene". The record is from RNAcentral. Lineage: Eukaryota; Fungi.
CAGAGUUCAUGCCCUAACGGGUAGACCUCCCACCCUUUGUUAUACCUACCUUUGUUGCUUUGGCAGGCCGCCUUCGGGCACUCGGCUCUCGCUGAGGUGCGCCUGCCAGAGGACCCCAAACUCUGAAUUUUAAUGUCGUCUGAGUACUAUAUAAUAGUUA